RNAcentral lists this transfer RNA (72 nucleotides) under Bos taurus (domestic cattle). It matches the Rfam family "tRNA". Rfam says of the family: Transfer RNA (tRNA) molecules are approximately 80 nucleotides in length. Their secondary structure includes four short double-helical elements and three loops (D, anti-codon, and T loops). Further hydrogen bonds mediate the characteristic L-shaped molecular structure. tRNAs have two regions of fundamental functional importance: the anti-codon, which is responsible for specific mRNA codon recognition, and the 3' end, to which the tRNAs corresponding amino acid is attached (by aminoacyl-tRNA synthetases). tRNAs cope with the degeneracy of the genetic code in two manners: having more than one tRNA (with a specific anti-codon) for a particular amino acid; and 'wobble' base-pairing, i.e. permitting non-standard base-pairing at the 3rd anti-codon position. The record is from Rfam by way of RNAcentral. Lineage: Eukaryota; Metazoa; Chordata; Mammalia; Artiodactyla; Bovidae. RNAcentral also lists the same sequence under 4 other names.
UCCCCGGUGGCUCAGAUGCUAAAGCAUCUGCCUACAAUGCAGGAGACCCAGGUUUGAUCCCUGGGUCAGGAA